This 674-nucleotide long non-coding RNA is filed under the name Crocodylus porosus (Australian saltwater crocodile). Its description in RNAcentral is "lncRNA (ENSCPRG00005005029.1)". The stretch from base 7 to 133 matches the Rfam family "U2 spliceosomal RNA". The record is from RNAcentral. Lineage: Eukaryota; Metazoa; Chordata; Crocodylia; Crocodylidae.
CAUUUGUCCACUUCUCAGCCUUUUGGCUCAGAUCAAGUAUAGUUCCUGUUCUUAUCAGAGCAGAGGACCCUUCAUGCACUGGGGUGAGAGGGGGCAGGGAUCAAUCUCAUUUUUGGAUCACAGGUGUCCCAAUGUCCAAAGAAUCCAAGAUUUCUAGAUGGUGACAAGCUAUGUUGAUGCAGCCAGGAGGGCAGCCACCUCAGGAGGAGGACCAUCUAGAAGAGGAACAGCAGGACCAGAAGAGGAACAGCAGAAGAGAUUUCCCAAUGGGCUUCAAGCUUUGGACCAGAGACCUUCAGGUGUGCCCUGCCCCUCUGCCUACAACUCUCCUCUCCUGGAUUGGAACCAGGGACUUGGACCGGCCGUUCCUCUUCCCACACUGUGUGACCCCAUUUUGAGCCGCCAUGCACCCCAGAUAUGAAGCUUCCAGCUGUUCCUUUUUUCCUCCGCGGACGUCAUCAUAUGAAGGCACCAACACAUUGGCAAUGAAUAGAAGAGAAGCAAGAAUGUAGAACACGGCAUAAUGAAGAUUUUCACAAGAUUUUUUUUUUGCAAUCAGACUACCAAAAUUACACGAUAGAGUGGAGAUAAGCAAAUACUUCAAUGUUGGCAGACAACCAACACUGACUGAACCCAGGUCGCUUUUCCCUAAUAAAUGUGUCUUUUCAAUCCCA